UACGUAGGGACCAAGCGUUGUCCGGAAUCAUUGGGCGUAAAGAGCGUGCAGGCGGCUUGUUAAGUCUUGCGUGAAAUCUCGGGGCUCAACCCCGAGCGGUCGUGAGAAACUGGCAGGCUAGAGUGCGGGAGAGGAGAGUGGAAUUCCUGGUGUAGCGGUGAAAUGCGCAGAUAUCAGGAAGAACACCCGUGGCGAAGGCGGCUCUCUGGAACGCAACUGACGCUGAGACGCGAAAGCGUGGGGAGCAAACAGG
RNAcentral lists this ribosomal RNA (253 nucleotides) under uncultured bacterium. RNAcentral describes it as "partial 16S ribosomal RNA". It matches the Rfam family "Bacterial small subunit ribosomal RNA", at positions 524 to 776 of the family's 1533-position model. The record is from RNAcentral.